CCUACGGGAGGCUGCAGUGAGGAAUCUUGGUCAAUGGCCGUAAGGCUGAACCAGCCAAGUCGCGUGAAUGAAGAAGGAUCUAUGGUUUUUAAACUUCUUUUAUAGGGGAAUAAAGGUAUCCACGUGUGUAUAUUUGCAUGUACCCUAUGAAUAAGCAUCGGCUAACUCCGUGCCAGCAGCCGCGGUAAUACGGAGGAUACGAGCGUUAUCCGGAUUUAUUGGGUUUAAAGGGUGCGUAGGUUGUUUUUUAAGUCAGCGGUGAAAGUUUUUGGCUCAACCAUAAAAUUGCAGUUGAAACUGGAAGACUUGAGUGUGUUUGAGGUAGGUGGAACGCGAGGUGUAGCGGUGAAAUGCAUAGAUAUAACGAAGAACUCCGAUUGCGAAGGCAGCUUACUAAGCCAUAACUGACACUGAAGCACGAAAGCGUGGGGAUCAAACAGGAUUAGAUACCCGUGUAGUC
Molecule: ribosomal RNA, 460 nt
Filed under: uncultured bacterium
Lineage: Bacteria
Description: partial 16S ribosomal RNA
Rfam family: Bacterial small subunit ribosomal RNA
Source: RNAcentral